GAUGAACGCUGGCGGCGUGCCUAAUACAUGCAAGUCGAGCGAACAGAUGAGGAGCUUGCUCCUCUGACGUUAGCGGCGGACGGGUGAGUAACACGUGGAUAACCUACCUAUAAGACUGGGAUAACUUCGGGAAACCGGAGCUAAUACCGGAUAAUAUAUUGAACCGCAUGGUUCAAUAGUGAAAGACGGUUUUGCUGUCACUUAUAGAUGGAUCCGCGCCGCAUUAGCUAGUUGGUAAGGUAACGGCUUACCAAGGCAACGAUGCGUAGCCGACCUGAGAGGGUGAUCGGCCACACUGGAACUGAGACACGGUACAGACUCCUACGGGAGGCAGCAGUAGGGAAUCUUCCGAAAUGGGCGAAAGCCUGACGGAGCAACGCCGCGUGAGUGAUGAAGGUCUUCGGAUCGUAAACUCUGUUAUUAGGGAAGAACAAAUGUGUAAGUAACUAUGCACGUCUUGACGGUAACUAAUCAGAAAGCCACGGCUAACUACGUG
This 496-nucleotide ribosomal RNA is filed under the name uncultured bacterium. Its description in RNAcentral is "partial 16S ribosomal RNA". It matches the Rfam family "Bacterial small subunit ribosomal RNA", at positions 28 to 507 of the family's 1533-position model. The record is from RNAcentral.